Molecule: long non-coding RNA, 771 nt
Organism: Lathyrus oleraceus (garden pea)
Lineage: Eukaryota; Viridiplantae; Streptophyta; Magnoliopsida; Fabales; Fabaceae
Exons: 2
Source: RefSeq, a predicted model, not a curated record
CCCAUUUCACUUCAUCCCUCUCAGACUUCUUCUCCUCUCCCUCUCAAACUCUUCUCACCGGAAAUUGCUUCCACCGUGUCGAAAAUUGUCUCCGGCGGCGGCGCAGCCCAGAAUGCUAGCAAACCUACACCAAUAGAAUCGUCUCCUCAUCCUCUUUCUAUCCCCAACCUUAUUUUCUCCAAAUCCCUAACCAACAAACCUCAUUCUACCCUAAACAUUGAAAAUCCUAGAAGUUUCUAAAUUAAAUAACCAUCUACGAAUUCAGAGUAUAACCUUAGGGAUAUGGUUCAGUAAUGCAUGGGAUACAAUAUGGUAACAAGAAGAAGAAUUUUUAGGAUGCUUUUGUGUUUACCUACGGAGCCGAGGCUUGCUCCAGUGAAUGUUGCAGAAAAGGCUUGAAGAUGAUGAGCAAGAAACCCAUAGAGGAGACUCCAUCUCAGAUAAGUUGGAUGGCUUUGGCAUGAAGUCAAGUGGUUUUCCAUGAAGGUCCAAGCCAUGCAUGAAGAUGAAUGAUCAUGGGGGACAAUGGUGUGAUUGUUGGAAGAUGAAUGUAGAUAGGUCUAGGGUCAUCUUAGGAUUUGGGUCAGGGUUUGAUCAACUGUUUGACCAAAAAAUCAACAGUUGAUCAAAAGUCAACAACAGGUCAAACUUGGAUUUUUUUAUGCAUUCUUCCAUUUUGUAGUGUAUUCUCUUGUAUUUGACUUUGUAAUUGGUUGACUUUCCAUUAAAACAUGUUUUGUAAGAAAUAACAUACUUUUCCCUCCUUUUGAA